Molecule: ribosomal RNA, 496 nt
Filed under: uncultured bacterium
Lineage: Bacteria
Description: partial 16S ribosomal RNA
Rfam family: Bacterial small subunit ribosomal RNA
Source: RNAcentral
AUGCACGCUGGCGGCGUGCCUCAUCCCUGCCAGUCGAGCGAACAGACGAGGAGCUUGCUCCUCUGACGUUAGCGGCGGACGGGUGAGUAACACGUGGAUAACCUACCUAUAAGACUGGGAUAACUUCGGGAAACCGGAGCUAAUACCGGAUAAUAUAUUUAACCGCAUGGUUCAAUAGUGAAAGACGGUUUUGCUGUCACUUAUAGAUGGAUCCGCGCCGCAUUAGCUAGUUGGUAAGGUAACGGCUUACCAAGGCAACGAUGCGUAGCCGACCUGAGAGGGUGAUCGGCCACACUGGAACUGAGACACGGUCCAGACUCCUACGGGAGGCAGCAGUAGGGAAUCUUCCGCAAUGGGCGAAAGCCUGACGGAGCAACGCCGCGUGAGUGAUGAAGGUCUUCGGAUCGUAAAACUCUGUUAUUAGGGAAGAACAAAUGUGUAAGUAACUAUGCACGUCUUGACGGUACCUAAUCAGAAAGCCACGGCUAACUACGUG